This is a non-coding RNA of Tricholoma furcatifolium, 95 nucleotides long. The record is from the annotation of a GenBank genome assembly. Lineage: Eukaryota; Fungi; Basidiomycota; Agaricomycetes; Agaricales; Tricholomataceae.
GCCCGUGUAGCUCAGUGGUAGAGCAUUGUACUUAUGAGGUUGCCUGACCUAAUUGCGAGAUGCAAGGGUCCCGAGUUCGAUCCUCGGCGUGGGCA